UGACAUACAGUCCAGCUAGGUGUAUUGUAAUUAACCGGCGCUGCAACACCUGGUCAGUUUAUUUUAGCCACCUGCUGCUUUGAAAAACUGCUGUUACAAACAAUUUCAACACAGCUGCCCUUGCUCACACAACAUCUCAGAAGUUAGUAUACCUGUCAGAGAGUUCGCGUACGCUGCUUUUUCUAGGCUAAGUGGAAGGAACUUUGUUUACCUGACCGCACUCCAUCUUCUGGGAAUAUUAGCUUUGUCCGUUAGCAACAACUGCAGUUCGGGGAUGAACCACACCUGCUAACAGCUCGGGAUCACAACUUGUAGCUACAAAAGGAUUUAAUUUUUCACUCCGCUAAGAUGACUCGAUCACUGCCUCAGUUCACCAGGCUAAGGAAAACACGACCAAACCACUGCCCUGUUAUUGAAGUGAGUCCUACACUGAAGACUUAAUGUCACCCCAUAUAAGCAGUUGCACAAUGAGGAGUGCAUGCUACAAUCUAUCAGCCGCCCUGCUGGAGGAGAGCACUGCAGUGAGCCCCCCCACCUGCCUGGGAGCUCCCGCAGUGGAUUCCCCACAGACCAAGCCAGCCGACGCCCCCUUGGUUACCUGCAACAGCCUGUCUCCUCAUGUCAGCUCGGAGCUGUGCAGCCCAGCUUGAAGGCUUCAUCCCUGGAUUCCCAAUAAGAGGAUGGCAGUGUGCAUGUGUGCACAUCUAUCAGGUUGGUGUACAGGCUCCUGUCAGGCAGUAAACAAUUUGUCAGGCGGUGCUGAGUCUGGACGAUGUCAGACUGGAGUUGAUGUGAGAGCAAAGGCCGUGACGUGGCUGAGAUAUUU
Molecule: long non-coding RNA, 826 nt
Organism: Seriola aureovittata
Lineage: Eukaryota; Metazoa; Chordata; Actinopteri; Carangiformes; Carangidae
Exons: 3
Source: RefSeq, a predicted model, not a curated record